Amphiprion ocellaris (clown anemonefish) is the source of this 4072-nucleotide long non-coding RNA. RefSeq lists it as uncharacterized. Lineage: Eukaryota; Metazoa; Chordata; Actinopteri; Pomacentridae. The transcript has 5 exons. The record is from RefSeq and is a predicted model, not a curated record.
CAUAUGAUCAUCAGCAGGCAGCUGACGUUCUGUUUCCUUGUUGUCAUGGUUACAGUGACGCUGUGCUGCUAUCUGGCAAUGAUACAGAAAUCUUUAACUAAUCCGUGGAUCCAGACUUUAAGCCGCAUCACUGCCAAAAUCUAAUCACUUGGUCCUUGUGUCAUUUCUGACCUUCCCUGAAAAUUUCAUCCAAAUCUGUUGGUCUGUUUUUCAGUAAUGCUACUUCUGGGGGUAUCCUGUUCUGUCUGGCAUCCAGAGGACUAUAGGUUGUAGUAUGCUCAACUGGACUGGGAUCCCUGGAGUUUGGAGGCCUGAUCGAUCUAUGAAGUCCCCACUUCAUAGACCAUCAUGGAUCUGCAGCUUGAGCACACCAGCUGCAAUAGUUAUCCUGGCAGCCAAGUGAAUCUGGAGCACAAAUGAAUUAAGGGAGAAUUAAGGAGCCUGUGCAAAGUGAAGCCUUUCCAAAUCUCAGUGCAGAUGAAAGGUGGACCUGCUCAUACAUGUGUGCACACACUCAAACACGUGCUCGCAUGCGUCCACAACACUCAUCCCCACUAACACACAGACUCCCUGUGUGUACUAUGUGGAGGAUACGCGUCCGUAGAUUUGUGGAUGUCGGCGAGUGUUUGUUGGACGUGUUUGUCCUCACCUUGCUUCUGGGCCUCGUGCCAAGCACAACUUCCUGCAGUCCACGGCCAAGGCAACACAAUGGCGCUUAACGUAGCCCACCACCCUCCCAGCAUAUUAUAUCAGCUGGGGGAAAAGUUGUUCAAAGACAGGACAAAGAAGUGCAUAUAGCGUCCUACAAAAACAUAUACAGGUGCUGUAUAUACACACACAUAUACAUAUAUGUGCUCCUACUGAAUAUGUGAAUGGAGAACAAUAAAUGCAAAUGAUGUGCUCUAUAAGAGGAGAGUGGAAGAUGUAGGCUUUAUUUUCCCUCCAUGUAUGACGUGGAGGACACAGCAGAGAAGUGUGACAUUGAAAUGGUUCAGUGGAAUUUGAAAAAGUGACUUUUUUUCCGCUCACCUCAGUUUCAUUGCCAGCUGAGGCGACGGAUGUGAGUUUCUCACCACGAACAAAAGUUCACAUUUUACAAUGACACACCAACUAUACUGUGAAUUCUUGUAAAGUCAAGAUGUUUAAAUUCCCCUGCUGAAGUAGUUUGUGUUGCUCUGAAAGGAGACUAACAUUAACAGUGAAUAAGUAUCAGGAAAAUGUACUUAAAGCUGCGAUAUUCUGUAUUUUUAUAUCAACAAUGGAUCAAAUAACAAUGCAGGAUGUGGAAGGUCUUGCUUUUAGUGACAAAACCACAGAGAAUGAUCAAUAGACUGCAGUUUCUCUAAGUUGUAUGCAGCGUUUUAGUGUAUUUCUACUUGUAUGUUGCUUAUUUGUCCUACAGCUUUGACUGUCAUCAGUGCUGUUUCCAGAUGUAGUACAAAGGCAUCUUAGUUUUAAAUAUUUAAUGGAAUAUUUAGAAACCAGAUGUUUUAUUUAGGAGUUGGUUGAGACCAAAACAAAGCUAAAAGGGAAGUGAGUUCAUCAGAUGGAUCGAAGGCCCUGAUUUUGAAAACUGCAGAAUAAUAAUCUCCAAAAACACAACCAUGAAGAUAACAUUAAUUUAAUCAUAAAUCCAGUGUAGACAUUGUUAAUGUGGUAAAUGACUAUUGUAGCUGGAAAUGUUUCAUGGAAUAUCUCCAUAGGGGUACAGAGGAACAUUUCCAGCAACCAUCACUCCUGUGUUCUAAUGCUACAUUGUGUUAGCUAAUGCUGUUGAAAGGCUCAUUGAUGGUUAGAAAACCCUUGUGCAGUUAUGUUAGCACAUGGAUAAAAGUGGGAGUUUGCAUGGAAAGCAAGAAAAUGUCUGUUCAACUUUUGAACGGUAGUGUACAUAACAUUUAUAGAGAUGGAACCAAACAGGUAACAAGAGAAUGUAUGAGAUUCAGUCAAGUUUAGUCUUUUAUUCAAAAAUGCUAGUCUCAUUUCCAGAGUGUAAUUAACCAGUGCGGUCUCGAUUACAGAAACACAGUGAUUUUCUUGAAAGCAUUUGGUGUGGCCUAGUAUAAAGACAGGAAGCAGGGGUUAAAAAAGUCUGCCUACCAGCAUCUCUAAGGUCAGUGUUGUACUUUGUACAUCUGUGACGGCUUCUUUCGCAGAUGUCCAUGUACAGAUCAAAAUUUGUGUCCACAUGGUGACUGCAUUACAAGGACAAUAGUAUGCAGGUGCAGAAUGGAGGAUGGAAUGAAGUCCUUCAAACAAAUUUCAAGUGGACUCCUAAAAGUAACCUAAAGGUAAAAAUGACAGGUUGUAUUUUUUUUUACAUGGAAAAUAAGCAAACAGUCUCCUCACACCUUCAUCUCUGAUUCCAUUUAAAUCAUCUCCCCCAAAGAUAAAGCUGACAACUUGUUCACCUUUCUAUUCUUUGAAAAACCCCAUCCACUCUCCCCUUACAGAGCUCCGUUUUCAUAUUGCACACAUCCCUUGCUGUUUAAAUGGUACAACAUCAGAAUACAAGUGACGCCCAGUUGUCAAGAGACGCAGCCUACACUGCCACCUCUCUCACAUCUCCACCCUGCUCAGCGGGAAUCAAAGGCAGUGAGAACAGGCAUGGGGAUGAGGGAGAAAAACGUUUCCAUCGUGGCUUUUAAAGCUCCACUAUUUUGGAAUUUGAAAAGCUAAACGUGGGAAUUACAUUCAUCUUGCUUCUCCUUCACACCCUGCUGUAGUUUCUGUUCCUUCCAUAAAACUGGUUAUAAGUUUGUUUUGAUUUAAUAUAAUCUGCUCUGAUCGCGUGUUAGUCCUCCAGUCAUUAUCUUCUCAUCUCCUAAUCAUACAGUAGUCCCCGGAAGGUAUGGAAAAGCUGUUGCAUCGAUUUCACACGAAUGCAGAUUGAUCCGGCUGAAUUUGCAUGUGAAUCCAUUCCACUGGAGCCGAGAGAUCAUAAUCGAUCAGAUGGGAUAAAGCCUGUAUCUGGCCUGCUUGGCUUUCAAAGGUUAAGGUGAAAAUUAAUUUGCUUGUUUGUUAGUUACAUUUCAAUCCUGUAAUUAAGUCUUGCAAAUGAUUAAAAUGUAAAACAAUGGAGCAAUGAAUGUGACUUUGAUUGCCUGUUUUUUUUAUUCGAUAACGUGAUCUGUUGGCCCGAUGACCAUGCUUGCAGAAUCCUAAUGAAGGCGAAGGAGCUGCUGAAGGCUUGUAGAAAUAAGAAAUCUUUCCUUGACAUAAGUUUAUUUCACUUUAGCCUUAUAUAAGAGAUCUUGAUGUUUAGAUGGUGGAGCUGAACUUUGGUGGUAAAAAAAAAGACAUCUUUAAAUGCUCAUGAAAGAUCCUUUUCAUCCACAAAAUUGGCAAACUAAUUGACUGUGUGAAAUUUUAAAUGUUCUAUCUUAAGGGUCCGUGCACGGAUCUGGUAAUUGGAUUUUCCGUUCUGAAACGGGUAUUGAAAAACAAAAAACGAGUGGUUAUUUGAUUUUCGUUUUAAAAUACAAAAAUUCAAAUUGAAAUACAAGGCGUUUUUCCUUUUCGUGAUCAAAAAGGGAUAUACGAUUUUUUUAAAUGCUUUGAUUUUCGUUUUAUAUUUAGAAUAACAAGAAAGUAAAAUCAGUAAGAGACAGAAACGAAAAAAGGUCUGUUUUUUCAUUUUCUGAGACCGGAAGUGGUCAUCAGCAAGGGUGGAGCCAAACGACAACAAGAUUCUCAGAGGGCGGAGCCAGAGAGCAGUGACUGGUCAGACUGACUGAGAGCCAGAGAGCAUCUCUGACUGCUGUUGACCUUGUUUUUGGAGUAAAACACGGUGGAAGCUGAAUUAGUGAGGAUGACUCCUGCUCCUGUCAUCUCUAAGCUCCUCCCACAUCUUUACCUGCACAUGAGGAAAAUCACUCCUGUAGAAUGCAGAUGUUCAGAGGGAGAUGAUGCCACAUCUGGUCCAGCUGAUGGAAGGUCUUGAAGUUCUCUGACUGGCCUGGACUGAAGAUGGUCGUCUCACUGGAUUUAAGGUUCAGAUGCUCAGUAACAAACUCCACCAAUGAGCCAACAGGGAAGCUUUAGGUUUAUUAAAUGUUGCUAUGAAGGUAAA